Molecule: long non-coding RNA, 637 nt
Organism: Mauremys mutica (yellowpond turtle)
Lineage: Eukaryota; Metazoa; Chordata; Testudines; Geoemydidae
Exons: 3
Source: RefSeq, a predicted model, not a curated record
UACUCUCAGUUUAUUGACUUAAUCAACUGUUUUGUAACUAAUGUUUUGUUGUAGGAAAUGGAGGAAAAAAAAGUCUUUGCUUCCAGUCUGAUCAACAAUUGCAAAAAAUCCAGCAGCUGGAAGCAGAACUAAAAACAGCCAGAGACUUCCUGAAGGAGAGCCAGAAUUACGCUGAAGAGAUGAAAAGUGAGAUACACAAGAAAUCCAUCAGCUGCAAGAAGAACUGAAAACAGCUAAACAGUUUCUGAAGGAGACCCAGAAUUAUGCGGAGGAGAUGAAAAAUAAGAGUUUGUCUCAGCAAAUAGUAUUAGAAAAGAAACAAGAUGAGAUUCGGGAUUUAGAGGGGAAAAAUCAAGAUUUAAUCCAGCAACUAAAGAAAAUGCAGUCAGACCUGCAAUUGAAAGAAGCUGAGAUUACCCAUCUCCCAAAUGAGCAACUGAGCAAGGAAACAGAAUUAUAAAGUCAACAAGCAGAGAUUCGGGAUUUAAAAGGCAAUAAUAAAUUGCAUGAGGAUUCAGUAAAGCAGCUACAACUUGUGCUUGACAAAUGGAAUUUUGAGAAAAAAGACAUGUCUACAAUGCUUUCCUUACAUGAAAAAGAAAUUGAGGACCUUACUGAAGAAAAUAGAACCCUUAAG